CUUGUAUACACCGCCCGUCACACCAUGGGAGUUGGUUGCACCAGAAGUAGGUAGCCUAACCGCAAGGGGGGCGCUUACCACGGUGUGGUCAAUGACUGGGGUG
This 103-nucleotide ribosomal RNA is filed under the name uncultured bacterium. RNAcentral's name for it is "partial 16S ribosomal RNA". It matches the Rfam family "Bacterial small subunit ribosomal RNA", at positions 1380 to 1482 of the family's 1533-position model. The record is from RNAcentral.